RNAcentral lists this long non-coding RNA (2740 nucleotides) under Homo sapiens (human). RNAcentral describes it as "HSALNT0082340". Lineage: Eukaryota; Metazoa; Chordata; Mammalia; Primates; Hominidae. The record is from RNAcentral.
CUUUCCCGUCUGCAGUCACCGCAAGAAUAGGCUGGGCUGGGCUGCUGAAGAAGGAGACACAUGGAAUAGAAUGGAGUUGCCCAGUCAUACUGGUUGAGACCUUUCUAUAUCAGAGCAGUAAGCCAGCCCCUAGACAUAAGGAAGCCCAGCAGAAGUCAGCAGAGCUCUUAGGCAAUUCACAGCUGCCUGCAGGGCUGUGUUUUUUUCCUGCCUUUUUAACAUGUCAUAAAAUUUUUUGUGAAAAGCUGGACUUAAUGUAUUGGAGAAUUGAAACUGAGUUGGAAGAUUCUGUGCCUGUUGUCAAGGUGACACUCCCCGGAAUUUUAAAGAGAAGUUUUAAAGUAGGAUGCUUUGGCUAGUAUUUGCAGAAACAUAUACACUUUUUUUACAUGAUAAGGAAAACAACAGAUAUUUAUUCUUCAUCCCAGGGGGAAAAAAACCCUUGGAGGAAUAAUUCAGAGGCAACAUCCUUAACGGGUGAUCAGUAGACACAAGACUCAUCCCAGUGAGCCACUGGUUCUGGCAGCUGUGUGACUUUGGACAGAGAUAUCUACAAUCUUUCAAUAUUGUUUGUGCACCAACUGCAUUCUCCACGUUGUAUUACUGCAGAUUUAUUGAUGAGUAAAACAAAUUCCUACCCUCAAGGAGUUUGCAAGCAAAAGAGUGAAAUGAAGAUGAAAGUGCAAUGCUCCACUGUCUUUUCGUGUGCUCAGAGAUUACUUUCUUAAUCUUUAAAAUGAAAGGCUUUUGCCUAAAUGACUGAGUGAUGUUGCACCUAUAACCCUAAUAUUCUUUGAUUCCCAAGGACAAGAAUCAGAACUAACAAGGUAUAUAAUGACAAAAGAAUUUUCAUUAUGAGGAACUUAUCAAGAAAUCAUAGAGUGGAGAGACUUGCACUAAAAACACUUAAAAUGAAUGGGAAGCCCGUCAGCAUAUUGUAUGUCCAUAUUUUCCAAAAAGAGUUAAGUUUGUAAGCUACUGCAUAGGACCAUGGGAAUUCUGGAUGUCCUUGGACUGUAUCACAUGUGGUUUCUUGGCAUCUUAGAUGAUGCAAUUUUUUAUUGCUUUGUCCGUGCAAUAAACGCUGAUAAAUUUUUCGGUUUAAAAUUUACCAAGUCUGCUACUGUAUCCCAGAAUUCUCAAUGAAAGAAAAUAUUUACAGUUUUUAACAUUACAGGUAGAAAAAGGAUCAAAGUGAUUUUCUUAAAUUUCCUUCUAAUUCAUGGAAAAAAGAACACAGUCAGUGAGGGUCUUUGCUCCUGUUCCCCAAUUUUCUUUGUCCAAAUGGCUCAGCCUUGAAUUCAAGAGGAGUGGUGCAGGAUUUAAUUGCUCCCACUUGUCUUCCUUGUGCAAAACUGCAGCUAGAAGAGCAAAUGAUAAGUUGAGAAUAUUUAACACUCAGCAACAAUACCAGGAACUUGUUCAAACUUUGUUUUUGAAGCUUCUUGACCUUCCAAUGAUUUAUUUCUUCCACACAUGGUUUCAUUAGAACUUCACUUGGAGAAGAAGAGAAAUAGCAAAUAACAGCAUCUUUCAUCUAUAACCAGAAUAUUCCAAGCCUUUCAAAAGUUGUUGCAAAAAGAAUAAAGUAUGAGCUACCUAGGCCUUGUUUGUCUGAGUCUUGCAUCCUGCUCAUAAAAGUAACACAAAAUUUUUUCAACAAGGACUAAGAAUGAGCUUAUUAUUUUUUAACAUACAUACAAUUUAUUCAUGAUAAUAUUGCUAGUAGAAGCCUGGAAAUAACUGAGAUGCCAAUAAACAGGAAAAUUACUAAUUAUAUCUAUACAAUGAAAUCUAUGCAACUGAUUUAAAAUUAAGGAUGCACCCUCUUAUUUUUAGUGUGUAUGUAUAAAUGGAUACGUGGUAUGUUGUCAAAGAAGGUUUAGAAGUUCAAUUUAAAUAAUACUGAAGAUACCUGCUAUUGUAUAAGCAAUGAAAAUGCUAUACAGAUGUUCUGAAAUAAAACAAACACACCCAUACUCUGACCACUGAACUUUGGACCAGUAUUGCUCUUCAUUAGUAUCCUAAAAUGUAUGGACAUUUUAUGGGUCAUUGUUCCAAACCUGUCUUUGGAGCUAUUUGGAGUAGCACAGAACCAACCUGUCUUUAGAGCUUCCUUGAGCAGCACAGAAAAGGGACUUUCAGAGCUUCAGGAGACAGUAUUUCAUCCAAGUGCAGCUUCUGGAAGUGAAAUGUAUUUAGAAGGUUUGCUCUGCUAUUGUAAUUUCCCAAGUAGGCCCAUGUGACUCUGCAAACCCUAGGCCUGAGCCAGAUUUGUUUGAAAUGUCAGCCAAACUACCAGCACCUUACAUCAUGAUAUGGUCUGACUCUGUGUUCCCAUCCAAAUCUCAUAUCAAAUUGUAAUUCCCAGUGUUGCAGGAGGGGCCCAGUGGGAGGUGAUCGAAUCAUGGGGGUGGACCUCCCCCUUGCUGUUCUUGUGAUAGAAUUUUCCUUAUAUCUGCUUGUUUAAAAGUGUGUUUAAAGGCACCUUCCCCACACUUCCUGCCAGCCAUAUGAAGAUGGGCUUGCUUCCCUUUCAACUUCUGCCAUGAUUGUAAGUUUCCUGAGGCCUACCCAGAAACAGAAGCCUGUACAGCCUGCAGAACUAUGAGCUGAUUAAACCUCUUUUCUUUAUAAAUUACCCAGUCUCCAGUAUGUCUUUAUAGCAAUGUUGAGAACAGACUAACUCCAUGAGCAUCUCAAAUGUCAUCAUCACAGGUAAUAUCUAUUGAGCUCUCAC